UAUAGAAAGGUAGAAGUAGUAUGCCCUAAACUCCUUAUGAUAUCCUACAAAUAACCACUUAUUGGAUUGAGGUCCAAGUUCAUCGGUCUAUAAAUAUUUUACAUAAACCAAACAACCCCAAUCCCUAAUAUAAGAGGGUAUCGAUCUACACCCAGUCCAUAUCUCAUAUGAAAGUUUUAUGAUCGAUUUGCUCAGAAUAUUAUUCAGAACAUAAUAAGCAAUCUUAAGAGUAUAACUCCAAAAG
Molecule: long non-coding RNA, 244 nt
Filed under: Elaeis guineensis (African oil palm)
Lineage: Eukaryota; Viridiplantae; Streptophyta; Magnoliopsida; Arecales; Arecaceae
Description: long non-coding RNA (EGUI_LNC039646)
Source: RNAcentral